Molecule: RNA transcript, 4422 nt
Organism: Salvia splendens (bonfire salvia)
Lineage: Eukaryota; Viridiplantae; Streptophyta; Magnoliopsida; Lamiales; Lamiaceae
Exons: 14
Source: RefSeq, a predicted model, not a curated record
CCAAGGCUAGAAAAAAAAUAAAUAAAAAGGCAGCCUUCUUGAGUAAAAAAAGCCAAGGCUCGAAAAAAAAUAUCGAGCGAAAAAUAGAAAUGAUAAAAGAAUGCUCAAAAGAAUAAGUUGACUUGGUUAGAUGGUCGAAAAAUCUCAUGUUUGGGGUGUUGAGCUGUGAGAAAUUUGUACGCAUUGACUGAGAUGUGAAAGAUGUUGUGAUGGAUGUGCUAGUAUUUUAAGAAUGGUGGUAAACUACUUAACCAUAUAUUAUCCCACCAUUACCAAAAGCCCCAUUACAUCCUAAUGAAUAAGACCUUUUGAUUUAUGCAUCAUAUUGACUUGUGAGCGAUGAAUUUUGCUUGAAUUUGGGAGAAAGAUCUUAUGUGCUUAAAAUAAAGAAUAGCCGGAAGAACUUCUCUUUAGGAAUUAGUGACGAUGGUUUGAGACUCCCAAGACACAACUCGAACUUAUGUUGAAGCAUGGGAUGCCUAGGUCUUAGGGAAUUAGUUCGUGUACAAUUCUUGUUCGAAAGUUUUACCCGCGAGUGAAUUCACGGUCGUCCUAAUUUCCCUACUGAUUCGUUGGCGUGACUUGAAGGAGAGGAUUAUCUAAUAUCUUAUGACUGUGCUUUAUUGUCUAACUUGCUCGAGGGCUAGCAAGACUUAAGUUAUGGGGGUGUUUGAUGUGAGUGGGUAAUUGUCUAACUUGUUCCUCGGAGUAUACAAUGGAAUGGAGGGCAGCGUAUUACUGGACCAAGUCAGUUUUGACCACUUCGAUAUUAAGUGUCUCUCAGUUCAUACUAAACCCAUCAAUGAAGAACUACUGCAAAAUCUUUCUGAUGCUCUACAUUUUUCGCUACUUGAUAAAAUUGGAGUUGGUCUUGCUGUGUCCAAAAUCUGAAGAUCACGAUACCAGGAUGUGUGGAAAGAAUUUCUGUUUGAGUCAGAUUGAAGAGUUGUGUGCCAAUCCUAUUGUAUUUGAGGCGACUGAGAUCAUUUCUAGAGCAGUCAUUUCAGCUGGAAUCACAAACAGAGUUGACACCGAUGAAUGGAAUCCAUCCACUGAUACACAUCUUCCUCGAUUGAUAACCUCUCUGGAAAUGUUGUGAUACACCCAAAAUUUUAACUAUCAUUCCAGCAGUUGUGUUUUUCUACGACAGUUUGAUGAACUAGCACGGGACCAAGUUUUCUAUAGAUUGCAAACUUGAGUUUGCUCGUACUGCUUGCUCAUCUAAAUUCUGCUGCUGGGCUGCGCUGCAAGCAAAACUCGUUCCUUUGUUGAGAGCUCUACUUUACUGUUGAUCAAGUUCCAGAGAUGUCCAUUGUUCUUCAAUAGUUAGGUUCUCGCUUCCGGUAUAGGGGUGUGAUCCUGGCGCCACCCCUCACUUGCUUUCUGUGCAAACAACUGCCGAAAAGGUUACAAAUUCUGUCGGAUUCUUUGUCUUGCUGUCCUGCAUAUUAGGAGCUAAGGAAGAGCUAACUUCUAAAUGAGGCAAGAUGAGAGAAGAAAUACCUAACCCCCAUCACCUAACUUCCAAAGCAGACAAGGGAGUAUUUUGUUUCCGCUCACAUUUUCUCGUCCUUCACAUAAAGGGCAAUGUUAAUAUUAAGAUUUUGGGUUAGGGUCUUUGUGUGCAUUUUGAUUAUAUGGUUGUAAAUAUUUUGAUUAAUUUCUCUUCGAUUCGUUGAUUCUGAAGUUUCCCUUUUCAACAAUGUAUAUAACAAUGCGAAUACUGAAGAAGUUAUGUGUUUUUAAAUGGCAGGACUAUGCCACGGAGCCUGAUGAGAAGCUUAUACGAAAUGCAGCACAUUUGAUGGUAGCAAGGUUCAGUCUAAGGCUGCGUAGCAAGCAUAACUCGGUCACGUGUUGAGAGAGCUACUUCAGUGUUGAUAAUUUGUAGAGAUCUCCCCUGUUCUUUAACAGUAAGGUUCUCGCUUCCGGUACAGGGGUGUGAUCAUGGAGCUAACUUCUAAAUGAGGCAAGACGAGAGAAGAAAUAACUAACCCCCAUCACCUAACUUCUAAAGCAAACAAGGGAGUAUUUUGUGUCCGCUCACAUUUUCUCGUCCUUCACAUAAAGGGCAAUGUUAAUAUUAAGAUUUGGGGUUAGGGUCUUUGUGUGCAUUUUGAUUAUGUGGCUGUAAAUAAUUUGAUUAAUUUCUCUUUGAUUUGUUGAUUCUGAAUUUUCCUUUUUCAGCAGUGUAUAUAACAAUGUGAAUACUAAAGAAGUUAUGUGUUUUUAAAGUGGCAGGACUAUGCCACGAAGCCUGAUGUGAAUUGAUUCUGAAGUUUCCUUUUUCAGCAGUGUAUAUAACAAUGUGAAUACUAAAGAAGUUAUGUGUUUUUAAGUGGCAGGACUAUGCCACAGAGCCUGAUGAGAAACUUAUACGAAAUGCAACACAUUUGAUGGUAGCAAGGUUGGCAGGAAGUCUUGGUAAUGUAACCUGUAAGGUUGAGUGUAAGGCUGCGUAGCAAGCAGAACUCGGUCCCGUGUUGAUAGCUCUACUUCAGUGUUGAUCAAGUUCCAGAGAUGUCCCCUGAUCUUCAGCAGUGAGGUGUUAUAGCUGUAACCACUACUCGUAGGAUUUUUAUGCUAGUGCACUUUGAGCACACAGUUUUGUAGGGACUAACCCGGAGUUGUCCUGGUUCUCACUUCUGGUAUAGGGGGGCACCACCCCUUACUUGCUUUCUACGUAAACAAGGAAGUAUUCUAUCUCCCUUUACAUUUUCUUGUCCUUCACAUUUAAGCUAAUGUUUAGAAUAGUUUUGAGGUGUGGUUGUUUGCGUGCAUUCUUCUUUUUGUGGUUGUAAUUUAUCAUAUUUGUGUGUGUAUGCAAGGUUUUCUCUAUUGAUUUUCACCAUAUAUACUUUUUAUGGGUUAUUAGUGUCGACUAGUUUAUCUCAAGGGUUGGAGAACUAAGAUUCCAUAAUUUAAAACACCUAACUUAGUAGUAUUUUAAUAAUAUGUGAAAAUGAACAAUACAGCUGAACAAGACAUGCUGCCGAACAAGACCAAGUGCAUAUCUUAUAGUAUUUUCUAUGGUCUCUUGAUAUUUUCUCUCCGGUGAACGUGGAGUCUGUUGAUGUUUUUUCUGAUUAAUGGGAUUUACUUUUUAAAGCAAUAAUACUAGCAAAUAACUGAUAUAAAAAACUUGGUAAAAGAUUGUGUUAAUUUAAUCCAUUGUGUAAUAUUGUUUCUAUUUUGCCUUUGUUGCAUUUAAACCUUGUAUACAUGCAGUCCAAACCAUAGAUGGGAAACAGAUCAACAACUUUCUAUUAGGAGAAAGUAUAGAGAGUGUUGUGCAACUAUUUUUUAUGCUAGCCUUUAUGUACUAGGUCAAAUGAGCCCUUUGUCCUAAGCUAGACCACCUGUCACAUUCACAACAACGAGUUUAUGAGGUUAUUCUCUGACAAAUUCUAGGACAUCUAAGUUGAUUCAGGUGGUCAGGUACAUAUUAUCUAUUUUCAUCUUUGUGAUCUUUAUUUGUGUCUCAUUUCAUUUUUUUUCAUUUUAUUUGUAUCAUUUUGCUCGUUUUCCAGGCAAGAAUCGAUCCAUCCAGAGCUCAAAUGCAUUUCCAGUUUGACCCUCCGCUUCAUCAGUAGGUGGAUUUUCCUAUCAAUUUGCAUCGCUACUUCUGACGAAAUGAGUGUUAGCACUGGAAUUGGUGCUAUGCCCCACACACCCGAAAUUGGCUCUGACUAGAUUGAACCUGUUGGAUCCCCGAUACCUCCAAGUUCCUUCAUCUCACAUUCAAUUGGCGAUGGUCCACAAACUCCUGAAAAUGACAUCAUUCCUUCAUUCCCUCCUGCUUUGGCCAGUUAUUGAUGGAACCUUUCAGUUAUGCAAACGAACCUGGAAUUGCUGCACAUCAUACUAAUGCAAAUCUGUCUGCCGAGCAUCCUGGGACAAAUGUACCAUACUAUCUCAGAGAAGGACAAUAUUUCCGAUGAUGCACCAUAUAAUUUCACAGGCUGGGUUUGGUCUAGAAGUGGGGAUGAUGUCAAUCCUACAUGGAGUCAAGGAGGAGUUAACUUCUUAGGAGCCAAGAUGAGAAAAGAAAUACCUAACCCCUACAACCUAACUUCCCACACAAACAAGAGAGAUCUCGCUUAUCACAUAAAGGGAAAUGUUAAGUUUCAUUUUGGGGGUGUGGGUGUUUGUGUUUGUACUGUGUGCCCUUUGUAUUUUGUGUAUAGUAAUAGUGUAGUGUGUUAGUGUAGAGUGCGCAUUGUUAGUAUUUUUUAUAGUCUAUGAACCGUGUGUAUUUUGUGAUUUUGCGUGUAUGUGUAUGUGUUUGUAGUUCAUGUAAUUUUAAAUUUUAUGUGUGUGGGUGGGUAGGUGUGUGGUGUAUGUUGUGUGGAUUGGGUUUAUAUUGUAGUUCCAUUUGCCAUGAUAUACCGCCAUGGCUUCGCUGUGGCAGCUAUUUGACAA